RNAcentral lists this ribosomal RNA (1450 nucleotides) under uncultured prokaryote. Its description in RNAcentral is "partial 16S ribosomal RNA". It matches the Rfam family "Bacterial small subunit ribosomal RNA". The record is from RNAcentral.
GAGUUUGAUCCUGGCUCAGAGCGAACGCUGGCGGCACGCUUAACACAUGCAAGUCGAACGAAGGCCCGGAGCUUGCUCCGGAUACCUUAGUGGCGGACGGGUGAGUAACGCGUGGGAAUCUACCUUACGAUGGGGAAUAACAGUUGGAAACGACUGCUAAUACCGCAUACGCCCUUCGGGGGAAAGGCUUCGGCCGUCGUUAGAGGAUCCCGCGUUCGAUUAGCUAGUUGGUGAGGUAAUGGCUCACCAAGGCGACGAUCGAUAGCUGGUCUGAGAGGAUGAUCAGCCACACUGGAACUGAGACACGGUCCAGACUCCUACGGGAGGCAGCAGUGGGGAAUAUUGGACAAUGGGGGAAACCCUGAUCCAGCGAUGCCGCGUGAGUGAAGAAGGCCUUAGGGUUGUAAAACUCUUUCACCCGUGAAGAUGAUGACUGUAGCGGGAGAAGAAGCUCCGGCUAACUCCGUGCCAGCAGCCGCGGUAAUACGGAGGGGGCUAGCGUUGCUCGGAAUUACUGGGCGUAAAGCGCGCGUAGGCGGCGAACACAGUCAGACGUGAAAGCCCGGAGCUCAACUCCGGAACUGCCUUCAAAACUUUUUAGCUAGAGUAUGAUAGAGGAAAGCAGAAUUUCUAGUGUAGAGGUGAAAUUCGUAGAUAUUAGAAAGAAUACCAAUUGCGAAGGCAGCUUUCUGGAUCAUUACUGACACUGAGGAACGAAAGCAUGGGUAGCGAAGAGGAUUAGACACCCUCGUAGUCCAUGCCGUAAACGAUGUGUGUUAGACGUUGGAAAUUUAUUUUCAGUGUCGCAGCGAAAGCAAUAAACACACCGCCUGGGGAGUACGACCGCAAGGUUAAAACUCAAAUGAAUUGACGGGGGCCCGCACAAGCGGUGGAGCAUGUGGUUUAAUUCGAAGCAACGCGCAGAACCUUACCAGCCCUUGACAUGGUCGUCGCGACUCUAAGAGAUUAGAGUUUUCGGUUCGGCCGGACGAAACACAGGUGCUGCAUGGCUGUCGUCAGCUCGUGUCGUGAGAUGUUGGGUUAAGUCCCGCAACGAGCGCAACCCUUACUUUUAGUUGCUACCAUUCAGUUGGGCACUCUAAAAGAACUGCCAGUGAUAAGCUGGAGGAAGGUGGGGAUGACGUCAAGUCCUCAUGGCCCUUACGUGUUGGGCUACACACGUGCUACAAUGGUAUCUACAACAGGAAGCAAAACAGCGAUGUUAAGCAAAUCCCGAAAAGAUACCUCAGUUCGGAUUGCACUCUGCAACUCGAGUGCAUGAAGCUGGAAUUACUAGUAAUCGUGGAUCAGCGUGCCACGGUGAAUACGUUCCCGGGUCUUGUACACACCGCCCGUCACACCAUGGGAGUUGGUUCUACCUUAAGGCAAAGCUUAAAACCUUUGACCACGGUAUAGUCAGCGACUGGGGUGAAGUCGUAACAAGGUAACC